CCAGCCCAUGCAUCACCACAGGCUUUGGAUGUCCUGAUGAUAGACGGCUCUAGCCUUCACGGGCAAUGUUCCUGCACAUGGCUGACUCCUCAUCUUCAACUGGAGAAGGGAAUCCCCUCCUCCGAGAAGGUGAAGCCUACCAAGCUCUUCCUCUGCAGGACAAGUUCGGAGUAGCUCAUGCCUUUGAAGCCUGUGGUCUUUAGAGUGGCUUUAGUGUAAAAACUCAAAAUAGGCUGACGACUGAGCCUGGAGGGAAGGUCGUCAGCAAAGGUGACACUAAGCUGCAGCCAUUCGGUCUGUCCUCCAGCUUGCUAAAUACGAUUCUAAAGCAGUGUCCUAAAGGAACAACGUCCCUUGACCUCACUUCAAGAAGGUCAAGAAGACAACACCAGGAUGUGACAUUUGAGUGACAAGACCUUGCUUUCAGGCUCCUGGCUCCUGGAAUGAACACAAGCAAGAGAGAAAAGGAGGGGGAACCGGAGUUGAGGGACAGUGGGCUGCAUCUGAGGGUGGGGGCUGAUGGAGGUAGGUAGCUAGGACCGACCCCUCCUUUGAUUCAGCAAACACCAAGGCUCCCCAGGAUGCUGGGUUUUGCUACAGAGAGAGUCAGAGGCACACCAAAGAGAUGGAGGGUCAGCUGUAUCUCUGGCCUGCGAAACUACCAGCCGUGUUCUGGGAGGGAAGGUGGAGGGGGUCUGGAGAGAGGGUAUGCCAUCAUGAAGAGCCUGCUAAGGUCUGUAGCACAGGAAGCCGCUGUGGCACCAACAGGAUGCCUCCGUGUGCACCAGGGCAGGUAGAGGCCCACAGCCUCUGUAUAUCACCCAUUCUGGCCUCAAACUUUGUGCCACCAUGUCUGGCACUGUUUUUGCCUGAGGAAGGGUUCAUCAGCAUCCAACCACGUGACUUUAAUACAGUGCCUAUGGGGGUCUGGAGAGUGGAAAGGGUCCUCUCUCCCUUUUGACUGAAUGAUGAAUAAGCCACACUUUCUUGUGUUUGAGAUGGCUUUAGAGUGUAGAAAAAUAUCCACAUGGACCGCUUGGUUGGUAUUGAGUACUGAUAGCUACUAAGGUUGGCAAUUAGAAAAGAAAAAAAAUAGCUUGGGUCAGGAAACCAGAGACGCAUCCAGUCUCUUAAGACACGAGGACUUCUUUGCUCUAAAUACCUCCCAAGGUUCCACAAAAGACCAUGCUUGGCUUUUUCUUUUGACUUAACUCAUCCUGUUUCUGUUUACAGAGCACCAAUGUGAGUGGAAUUCAUCAGCCAAAAAUACAAGUAAGGAAAAAAAAACCCACCUCUUCUAAAAACUUUUAAUGUGCAUGCAGCUUGCUGUUACUAGAUAAGGACUCGUCUUUUUCUGUGCUGGGAACCCUAAGUAGUCACAUAGGCCCAUUAUGUCUUAAAUGCUGCCUGUGGCCCUGGAACAAUGAGCCUGAGGCCCGGGAGCUGAAGCAGUAGGCAGCCUGCCAAGUUCAACACCGGCCAGUCUGAAGAGCAGGGCCUGCUGGGAGCUGCUUCCGGCUCUGCAUAAGAUGCAGAGCAAAGAUUUUCCAUGCUGGCUUUCCGCAUGCACGUUCCACACUGAAAGCCCAGACCAGUGAUGACCUGUAUUGACAUUUUCCGUGAUAGUCUUUGUUUUGUUUUCUGCUUGAUAGUGUAACUUCGGGGGUUUCUUUUUUUGUAACAAUCACUUGGCAAGGAUUACUCUUAGAUGUCACAGGGGAGUCACCGAACACAGCUGGAUUCUUCCCUGGGCAGACAUCUCUUUUUAAAAUGGAGCUUCAUGGGAAUUUACUGGAUGAUUUGUGGAGGAACCCUUUGUUUCACAGCUGUUGGUCAAGACUGUGCCUUGCUUGUGGAAAUAAAAGAAGCUGCAGUGGAGCCUUAUGGUAAUGUACAUAAGGAAUUAAAAAUUGAAUUUAAAAACAGGAAAUGCAGGGUGCUGGAGAGAUGGCUCAGUGGUUAAGAGCAUUGUCAUUGCUCUGAGCUCCUCCCUGAUCCAGUCACCUAUUAGUGCCAGCUCCAAGAGCCCUGACACCUUAUUCUUCACUCUGGAUGCUUGUCCUCACCUAAACACAGACACACAUUUAAAAAAAAAUCUUUUAAAAUGGGCUAUGUACUGCUUUAUCUCCAUCAGAGCAACAUUCUUCUGAAGUGCUCUAUUUUUCGCCUACAUUUGCCUUCCCUGGAGACUCAGCGCAUGCACUUACAGCAACCAGGCUCAACCUCCAAGAGAAACAUCGAUGCUGGUAGUCUCCUUUGGUGCGCUUGGUGGCAAACGACCCGUGCUGAGCAUCCAGGAGUUUUGUAUCCAGUACUGAACUCACAUGGCUAGGCUUUCAUGUCAGAGGAAAUACAGCUGCAUGCAUUUACUGUGUGGCAGUCUCCAAUACGAUGCCUUCUGGGGGAGUUUUAAGAUCAGUUUAGACUUUGCCUAAUUUUUUUAAGCACACAUAACAUGGAUUCCACUUGGUGUGUGGCAAUGUUCCAUGCCUGUCUAUAAUGCUACUAACAAAAAUUAACUGCCAUUGGGACAUGAUUGGUGUACUUCCAAAAAGUGCUUUGCUAUGAAGACUCAAUGAGUUUUCUGGAAGAAACAAUCGCUGACAUUUGCCAGGAAGCAAAGGCUCCUCUGUCCCUUGAGCUUGGGUAAGUUUACCAUUGCUCCACCUCAAACGUGACUGACACUCAUGCUUAUACAGCUUAAAGGUAUUUUAUUGACUGUUUUCUAUUUAGUCCUCCAUCAUCUAAAUUACUGCACAGGUGCACUGGCAGAUGUUUCCAUAAGACUAUUGAAAGAACUCACAUGCUCUUUGGUAGAUGAAUCUUAACUGUGAUAUCCCCAUACAAGGGAAUAUUACACAGCUAUAAAGAGAAAUUAUAUGCCACUGUAGAAGACUGCUAGAAUAUGUUGCUAAUAUUUUAGGACAGGAUUAUAAAAAUUCAAAAUGAAACAAGAACUAAUCUAAUAUUGUAUUAGGUUAAUGACAAAUCCACUCAGGGAAGAAAUUUUUUCAAGUGACCUUAGAAUAUGAGGAUUGACAUGUGUGGUGCGUAGAUGCCUGUAGUCCCAGAAUUUGGGAGAUGGAAACAGGAAGAUCAGAAGUUCAAGGUCUAGCCUGGACCACUUGAGACCCUUACUCGAAAAUAACAACCAAACAACAGCAUAAAUAAGUAAAACAGAAAUAAAUAAAUAAAUAAAUAAAUAAGGAAAAUGAGAAUUGACAAAAGGGUCUAUAUGUGGAUUAUACUCUUAAGACAAAAGAGAUAAAAAAAAGACACCUACAAAUGAUAAUAAAAACAGCACGAAGUUUCAACUUUUUCCAGUAA
Molecule: long non-coding RNA, 3327 nt
Organism: Mastomys coucha (southern multimammate mouse)
Lineage: Eukaryota; Metazoa; Chordata; Mammalia; Rodentia; Muridae
Exons: 3
Source: RefSeq, a predicted model, not a curated record